Molecule: ribosomal RNA, 253 nt
Filed under: uncultured bacterium
Lineage: Bacteria
Description: partial 16S ribosomal RNA
Rfam family: Bacterial small subunit ribosomal RNA
Source: RNAcentral
UACGGGGGGGGCAAGCGUUGUUCGGAAUUACUGGGCGUAAAGGGCUCGUAGGCGGCCAACUAAGUCGGAUGUGAAAUCCCCGGGCUCAACCCGGGAACUGCGUCCGAUACUGGCAGGCUUGAAUCCGGGAGAGGGAUGUGGAAUUCCAGGUGUAGCGGUGAAAUGCGUAGAUAUCUGGAGGAACACCGGUGGCGAAGGCGGCAUCCUGGACCGGUAUUGACGCUGAUGCGCGAAAGCCAGGGGAGCAAACGGG